AACGAACGCUGGCGGCAUGCCUAACACAUGCAAGUCGAACGAGACCUUCGGGUCUAGUGGCGCACGGGUGCGUAACGCGUGGGAACCUGCCCUUAGGUUCGGAAUAACUCCCCGAAAGGGGUGCUAAUACCGGAUAAUGUCUUCGGACCAAAGAUUUAUCGCCUUUGGAUGGGCCCGCGUUGGAUUAGCUAGUUGGUAGGGUAAAAGCCUACCAAGGCGACGAUCCAUAGCUGGUCUGAGAGGAUGAUCAGCCACACUGGGACUGAGACACGGCCCAGACUCCUACGGGAGGCAGCAGUGGGGAAUAUUGGACCAUGGGCGAAAGCCUGAUCCAGCAAUGCCGCGUGAGUGAUGAAGGCCUUAGGGUUGUAAAGCUCUUUUACCCGGGAUGAUAAUGACAGUACCGGGAGAAUAAGCUCCGGCUAACUCCGU
RNAcentral lists this ribosomal RNA (432 nucleotides) under uncultured bacterium. RNAcentral describes it as "partial 16S ribosomal RNA". It matches the Rfam family "Bacterial small subunit ribosomal RNA", at positions 29 to 506 of the family's 1533-position model. The record is from RNAcentral.